AUGGGCUCCAGGCUCCUCUGCUGGGUGGCCCUUGGGCUCCUGGGAGCAGGCUCUGUGGAUGCUGAAGUCACUCAAAGCCCCAGACACCUGGUCAAAGCAAGGAGUCAGCCAGUGACCCUGAGAUGCAACUAUGAAUCUGGGCACCAGUAUGUUUACUGGUAUCAACAAACCCUGGGAAAGAGUCUUGACUUCUUUGUUUCAUAUGCCCUUGGGAAAGAGUAUCAAAAAGGCAGCCUCCCUGACCACUUCUCAGUCCAACAGUUCAGUGAGGACUCCAGCUCUGAGCUGAGCGUGAGCUCCGUGGAAGUGGCCGACUCUGCCCUGUACUUCUGUGCCAGCAGCCUCACAGCCCUGCCUGCUCAGCUGACUCCUGCACAAAAACACCCCUGGCCAACCCAGGAAGUGGUAGUGAAGGGGGAGCCACCAUCCAGUCCCACCUGUAUGAGGACAGUCACUUUGUGUAUGGGGAUGAGUCAAUAUGUCAGAGUCACGCAGGAUAUGUACUGUUGCACCUGUUUUUAA
Non-coding RNA from Sorex fumeus (smoky shrew), 522 nucleotides. The record is from the annotation of a RefSeq genome assembly. NCBI's taxonomy places the organism in Eukaryota, Metazoa, Chordata, Mammalia, Eulipotyphla, Soricidae.